GAUGAAGAACGUAGCGAAAUGCGAUACGUAAUGUGAAUUGCAGAAUUCAGUGAAUCAUCGAGUCUUUGAACGCACAUUGCGCCCCCUGGUAUUCCGGGGGGCAUGCCUGUCCGAGCGUCAUUGCUGCCCUCAAGCACGGCUUGUGUGUUGGGCCUCCGUCCUCCUCCCGGGGGACGGGCCCGAAAGGCAGCGGCGGCACCGCGUCCGGUCCUCGAGCGUAUGGGGCUUUGUCACCCGCUCUUGUAGGCCCGGCCGGCGCCAGCCGACAACCCAUCAUCCUUUUCAGGUUGACCUCGGAUCAGGUAGGGAUACCCGCUGAACUUAAGCAUAUCAAUAAGCGGAGGA
RNAcentral lists this unclassified non-coding RNA (345 nucleotides) under soil metagenome. RNAcentral's name for it is "partial contains 5.8S ribosomal RNA, internal transcribed spacer 2, and large subunit ribosomal RNA". The stretch from base 1 to 120 matches the Rfam family "5.8S ribosomal RNA", at positions 35 to 154 of the family's 154-position model. The record is from RNAcentral.